UCGAAUUCUAAAGAGGAAUCCAAACCUCUCGCGACUGUUUGAUUUAAUUUUCCCGUGAAUGAAAAUGUGAGAAUGGAGAUUUUCGUGGAAAUAAACGACAUCUCGAUUGAUCUCGAUGUAAUUUUUACUCAGCCUCGCAAGUUUGCCAAGCCACCUCGUAGAAUUUCUACGAGAUAGAAAUGGUCGAUACGCCACGUUCUCUGCAAGAGACCGUCUAUCGAGAGAGUCCAUCGAGGAGAGAAUUAAACGGCGGCAAGUCGCGACGAUAGUCUAUCAAUAUAGAUCAGCACAUAGCCGUGAUUGCAUAUUAUAUCCGCCAGCUAUCGCCCCUUAACGAUCGCGGAAUCAUUGCGGAGCUCAUUGACGAGCACCAUUGUCGAGUUUGCUGAGCGAUUCCGUUCUCGUUCCGCCGCGAGGUUUUCCUCGGCGCGCGGCUUGAAAGCCGACUGGUUUUUGUGACGCGCGCGCGCGGAUCUCGUUAAAUUCCAUCUUGUUCUAUCGACGAUCGGCGAACGAGAUCCCCGUGGAUCCUGCUUGCCGUGCGCAAGACGCGCGUGUACUUGUAUAUCUCCUCGCCGUUUGUAUCCUCGCGUAUAUUGCAGGUGUGGCUUGCGACAGGAUGUGUCAACGCUUGUGGAAGCUGGUCACGUACCUACGUGCGCUGCGAUUGUGACCAGUGCAUUAACCCUGCGAGGAUGUAAUGAACAAGACGACCUGUCGAAACCUCUUUCUUUUCUCCGGCGAUACAUCUUCGGACCUCGCAAAAGGAGUUCAAUGCGAUAAAUCUCCCAAGUGGAAUGUCCUUUGGUUUGGUCAGCGGGAAAUGUACGACGCGAGGAGUCAUGAUCAAAGUCCCUAUCGCUUGAAAUUUACCGUCAAAUAUUGUUCACUAGUUGAGAAGUUUAUCAUUUCCGGCAUUUCCGCGAUAUCGAGUAUCUCUCAUUUGCGUACAGCGAUCAUUUUAUGUCUUCAAACGAUUUUGGGCGACUGGAAGGUACAAAGGUGCGAAGAUGCAAAUUGUGCUCGUGGAGAAAAAAGAACGGUGGCAGUUUCAAUGAUCGAGAGCUUUAUUAUACGCUUCAUUUGUCGUCGGGAAAAAGUGAUCGGCCGACGUUUGUCCAUGGCACUAAAUCAAAGAAGAGCUAUUAAGGCGGAGCGAAUAAUUAAUCUAUCUUCUUCAGGACGAAUUUUAAUCAGCGAAACGCGCGCAUGAGCGUCUCAAGGCCGGUAAUUAAUUUCGGAUUUAAAUACGGCAUGCUCGAAGCGUUAAAAUCAGACCAAAGAAAUUACAAAAUGAAUUUAAGAGGAAAUGGAGCAAGAGGGGAGAGCACAGAAAGAGUUACAGACCAAUUUCGUCGCAAACACUUUUGCGAUUCGUCAUGGUGCUACGACGGAACGUUAACCGUACCACGACUAGAGCGCAAACUUUCCUUAAUACCCUUUCCAAGAAGCCGAUCUAAUUUGGUUCUCUGUGCAGCGAUAAUAGAACUGCCACCGCGUAUACAACAUGCAUUUAAUCUUAAUAAUCAUAAUUCAAUUGUUGUGCGAAUCAGAAUCAUAAUAUGUCUUUGUUUUUUUUUUUUAAUAAUGUUUGUAACAUAUAUUUGUUAAUUAUAUUAAAAACUCCAAACAAGUGGGACAAAUAUUUUUAAUAGAGAUUUAUUUUUCUUUUUUGAGGGGAUUCGAAGGAAAUCUUGUUGCCGAUCGUGUAGGGGUAAACGACCUAAUGGCAUCUAUUAUUGCAAUCGCAAAGAUAUACCGCUCGUGCAGAGUGCCAUAAAACGCGCGUGAUGGAAUAUAAGGUAAGCGAAAUCUUAGCGACCGGAUAACAACGUAAGAAUCUGCACGCCGAUAAAGUUAAAUACGAUGGACGCGAAUGUGUGUGUGUAGUAUCUAAACGGGACUAAAUCUCGUGAUGCGAGUUUCUAUCUAGCGCGCGAGAAAUUGAUAUUCGAUACUUUCCACAGAGGGUGGUCGACCGAUGGAUAUAGCUUGAUAUACUUUGUUACAAGUGCCUAUCCGCCGUAAUGCCGAUCGAUGAGGAAACAACAGGCACAUUUAUUUUCGCAAUAAAUAGAGACCACCUCUCUCGCUCAAGCCGCUCGUGUCGCAUAAGAAAUCAUAAAGAGCACGAUUUCAGUGCGAUCGAUCGCAUUAACUCACCACGGAUGACAAACCGUUUUGCGUCCACUCGAGCGAGAACGUUCCGACGAGCGAUAACGCGACGUAAUUAUUUCAUCCGCGGCUCCUGAUCAAACGUGAUUCAUGUGCACGUAUAUAGAAGGUACUGCGCGUUAAAGCGUGAAGCAAUUUCACGAGCGAGUAACUGGACGAUCUCGGAAAUUGGCAUACUGAAAAUUGGCGCGAGAUGCUCCCCGCUGUAAGAAUUCGGAGAAACGCAAGAAAGAUUUAUGAACUUUAUGUGGAAGCAAUCUUUCACUUUUAUAUGCAAUUUGUAAUAUAUAUGUAUAUGAAUAUACGUGCAAUUUGAUAUGAAUGCAAGCUAUAACUACUUUGCGAUUCAGAGUUUCAGACUCGGUUGUAUACGCUCGUAUCCGAGAUUCUCGUUUCUUCACGAUCACGCGAGAGAGGUAUAAGGGGUAUUUGUCGGCCGGUAAAUUGGUCGGCAUGCGAAGGAGCCCAGAACCGGCGCUGGUUGCCAGGAAUACCAGCGCCCAUUCAACAAUGGGCCACUCCGUCGAGAAAAAUCGCCACACACGUAGCCGUACAUCUCUUGGUCAAGAGGAGAGGAGAGCGGAGAAAAGAAGAGCUUGAAGGAACAUUAACAAACAAUGGUCCUGUUGGUUCGCGCAUGUGUGAGGAGUGACAUUCGUUCUGGACAAGCCAGGGACGAAGAGGAACAGCUGAAUCAAGGAAAAAGAGAUUACAAGGAUUAAAAAACGGAAGCGGCGAGAAGUGUCCUUCGCGAGGCAUUUACAAAUUCGAUUUUUCUCAAAGUUUUUGUACCUUAUAUCGAUUUCCUAAUUCUCCUUCCUCAUUCUGAUCUAAAACUUGUACAUUUGCAAAGAUAACAUUUUUUUAGAUGAAUAUCUGUAGACACACACGCACACACAUUUAUUGAAGACAGAAAGAAAUUCGCUGUUGCGUAUGUGUAAUGUCUAAGCGUGUGGAAGGAGCAUUUAAUCAUCUCACGGUACGCAAUUAUUCUAAUGAAGGGACCCGACGCGACUCACACAUGAGAAGAAAUUCCCGUCGACCGAGAGAGGAGCCAGAGAAACACUUUGCAAGCGAAUGUUGUGACGGUCACAAUUAUUUAGCCGACGCAGAAGCAUUCCUCUCGUAAUUUCCGUGAUACAAUAAAGAUUCUCUUUCUUCCAAUCUUCUACUCUCUCACUCUUCCCACCAUAGUCAGCUUCUCCAUGGCCAUUUGCGCGGUAUUUGUCGUAUACCGUUGACCGACAUCGUUUCGUUUUCCGCGAUAAUUGCAACAAUGAGGCGACCACUUGACUCGUGCCACCGGGCCCUUAAAGCGGGGUCCCGCAUCAAUGUCCUUCCGUUGUAACUUGAUGGUUCUGCGUGCACGGCAAUUGUGAGAAACACGCAAACAAUAGAA
RNAcentral lists this long non-coding RNA (3574 nucleotides) under Ooceraea biroi (clonal raider ant). RNAcentral's name for it is "uncharacterized LOC105276862, transcript variant X2". Lineage: Eukaryota; Metazoa; Arthropoda; Insecta; Hymenoptera; Formicidae. The record is from RNAcentral.